This 496-nucleotide ribosomal RNA is filed under the name uncultured bacterium. RNAcentral's name for it is "partial 16S ribosomal RNA". It matches the Rfam family "Bacterial small subunit ribosomal RNA", at positions 29 to 507 of the family's 1533-position model. The record is from RNAcentral.
AUGCACGCUGGCGGCGUGCCUAAUACAUUCCAGUCGAGCGAACGGACGAGAAGCUUGCUUCUCUGAUGUUAGCGGCGGACGGGUGAGUAACACGUGGAUAACCUACCUAUAAGACUGGGAUAACUUCGGGAAACCGGAGCUAAUACCGGAUAAUAUUUUGAACCGCAUGGUUCAAAAGUGAAAGACGGUCUUGCUGUCACUUAUAGAUGGAUCCGCGCUGCAUUAGCUAGUUGGUAAGGUAACGGCUUACCAAGGCAACGAUGCAUAGCCGACCUGAGAGGGUGAUCGGCCACACUGGAACUGAGACACGGUCCAGACUCCUACGGGAGGCAGCAGUAGGGAAUCUUCCGCAAUGGGCGAAAGCCUGACGGAGCAACGCCGCGUGAGUGAUGAAGGUCUUCGGAUCGUAAAACUCUGUUAUUAGGGAAGAACAUAUGUGUAAGUAACUGUGCACAUCUUGACGGUACCUAAUCAGAAAGCCACGGCUAACUACGUG